RNAcentral lists this ribosomal RNA (1817 nucleotides) under human gut metagenome. RNAcentral describes it as "bacterial LSU rRNA". The stretch from base 941 to 1806 matches the Rfam family "Bacterial large subunit ribosomal RNA", at positions 2048 to 2912 of the family's 2925-position model. The record is from RNAcentral.
UCCCUAAAAAUAUUUUAGCGUCUCUGUUUGGCUUUGAAUCAAAAGCAUACCUGAAGGCAAAAGAGCAUUUAGAAGACAGUCCUGAGGUUUCAUUUUAAGGUUCGAGCAUGAAUUUACUUAGGCACUCUGUGUUAUCAGCAGGACUUCACAGGAUAACUGCUGUCAUUUUUGCAUUAAGCCUUAUUUUUACGUUAAGUGCCUUUGCAUCUGACUUUUAUACAGUAGACACAGUUCCAAAUCCAAGAAUUGAGAAUACCUCAUUUCAUGUAAGUGAUCCCGCCUCUCUACUUACUCAUGAUAAGGUUUCAUAUCUUAACGAAAAACUUACUCAGCUCGAAAAGGACACAGGUAUACAGUCAGCUGUGGUAGUACUUCCAUCAGUUGGCGACAGUGAUGUCUUUGAAUUCUCUCAGGAGCUGUUCAGAAAAUGGGGAAUAGGACAGAGGGAUAAAAAUGACGGUCUUCUGCUUACCUAUGUUGAAGAUCAGCACAUUAUCCGUUUCCAUACAGGUUACGGUCUUGAAGGUGUGCUUCCGGAUGCUGUCUGCAAGCGUAUACAGCAGCAGAAGAUGAUCCCUUUUUUUAAAGAGGGAAAAAUAAACGAAGGCAUGAGGGCAGGUAUUGAUGCCCUGUACGAGCGACUUGCCGCAGAAGGCAAAUCAGAGUCAGAUGAUGAGAGUUCGGGUGUUGACAGUGACGAUGAUGACUUUUUAAUUACACUUGUCACAAUCAUCUCAACUGUAGUUCUGAUCUUUGUUGUUGCAGCAGGCGUGAUGCUUUGGAACCUGUUUGAAAAAUGCCCUAACUGUGGCAGACGCAAAACCUUAAAAAAGAUAAGUGAGAAAGAAAGAAAAAAGCACCAUCAUACUUAUCUUGAGGAAGUAAAACGCUGUUCUUACUGCGGAUAUGAAGUUAAACGUUCAUACAAAAUAGAUGACGAUGAUGACGAUAAUGACAGUUUCCUAAGUGGUGGCACUGGCGGUUUCUCCUCUUCUUCAGGCGGCAGUUUUGGGUUUCGGUAAUUUAUGUACAGGAUAUGUGGGAGACUGGGAAGUUAUGGCGCCAGCCAUAAUGGAGUCGAUGUUGGGAUACCACACUUAGAUUGCUGGAAUUCUAACCUGUGGCCAUGAAACUGGUCAGGGGACAUUGUCAGGUGGGCAGUUUGACUGGGGCGGUCGCCUCCGAAAGAGUAACGGAGGCGCUCAAAGGUUGGCUCAGCACGGACGGAAACCGUGCAUUAGAGUGUAAACGCGUAAGCCAGCCUAACUGCGAGGGUGACGGCCCGAGCAGUAACGAAAGUUGGAGUUAGUGAUCCGGCGGUAUGUGAAUGGAAAUGCCGUCGCUCAACGGAUAAAAGCUACCCUGGGGAUAACAGGCUGAUCUCCCCCAAGAGUCCACAUCGACGGGGAGGUUUGGCACCUCGAUGUCGGCUCAUCGCAUCCUGGGGCUGUAUUCGGUCCCAAGGGUUUGGCUGUUCGCCAAUUAAAGCGGCACGCGAGCUGGGUUCAGAACGUCGUGAGACAGUUCGGUCCCUAUCCAUCGUGGGCGCAGGAGAUUUGAGAGGAGCUGUCCCUAGUACGAGAGGACCAGGAUGGACGCACCAAGGGUGAAUCAGUUGUUCUGCCAAGAGCAUAGCUGGGUAGCCAAGUGCGGAUCGGAUAAACGCUGAAGGCAUCUAAGCGUGAAGCCGACCUCAAGAUAAGAUCUCCCACCAGAAAUGGGUAAGACCCCUGGAAGACUACCAGGUUGAUAGGUCGGAGGUGGAAGUGCAGCAAUGCAUGCAGCUGACCGAUACUAAUAGGUCGAGGGCUUGAUCA